GUACACUCCUGCGGGAGGCAGCAGUGGGGAAUUUUGGACAAUGGGCGAAAGCCUGAUCCAGCAAUGCCGCGUGAGUGAAGAAGGCCUUCGGGUUGUAAAGCUCUUUUGUCAGGGAAGAAACGGUGAAAGCUAAUAUCUUUUGCUAAUGACGGUACCUGAAGAAUAAGCACCGGCUAACUACGUGCCAGCAGCCGCGGUAAUACGUAGGGUGCAAGCGUUAAUCGGAAUUACUGGGCGUAAAGCGUGCGCAGGCGGUUUUGUAAGUCUGAUGUGAAAUCCCCGGGCUCAACCUGGGAAUUGCAUUGGAGACUGCAAGGCUAGAAUCUGGCAGAGGGGGGUAGAAUUCCACGUGUAGCAGUGAAAUGCGUAGAUAUGUGGAGGAACACCGAUGGCGAAGGCAGCCCCCUGGGUCAAGAUUGACGCUCAUGCACGAAAGCGUGGGGAGCAAACAGGAUUAGAAACCCCAGUAGUCCCAUGAU
Molecule: ribosomal RNA, 479 nt
Filed under: uncultured organism
Description: partial 16S ribosomal RNA
Rfam family: Bacterial small subunit ribosomal RNA
Source: RNAcentral